This 45-nucleotide non-coding RNA is filed under the name Schistosoma mattheei. The record is from RNAcentral. Lineage: Eukaryota; Metazoa; Platyhelminthes; Trematoda; Strigeidida; Schistosomatidae.
AUUCAUCUGAUGAGUCUCAAAUAGGACGAAAUGCGCAUCUUGGAU